Molecule: long non-coding RNA, 1705 nt
Organism: Mastacembelus armatus (zig-zag eel)
Lineage: Eukaryota; Metazoa; Chordata; Actinopteri; Synbranchiformes; Mastacembelidae
Source: Ensembl
AACACCGGAGCUAACAGAUGGUAACCACAACAACAGUAGCUCUGGAAACAACAACCUUGUGGAAAACUCUUCCUCUGCUACGCAGGAAAUAGAUUCGGUUACCAUGGAGAUCAGCUCACCACCACCACCACCAACAGACCUAGAAAGAGGCAACUUAUUUAGCAGCCAUAGUCAGGAAGUGCAGGAGCUUCAGUACCCAGAGGUCCAUGGGGAGGAAAACGACGCUGCAGAACUUGAAAGUGGAAAAAGAGAUGGAGAUGAAUGUGACUACCUUGUGUUUGAGAUAGGAGAGCAGACGGGGAAAAAGGGAGGGAGUGAAAGUGAAGUGGGACAAGAUGCAGAGAGAAGAAGACAGGGAGAAGAUGGAGGAAUAGUAGAGGAUGAAGAGGCGGAGGGAGAAGAAGUAGGGAGAGGGGAAUCAGAAGGAGAGGUUGAAGAGAGAGGAUUGGAGAGAGAAGAUGAAGGUAGAAGAAAUGUUAAAGGAGAAGAUGAAAGUAAAGGAAAAAAAGAGAAAGACAAUGGGGAGAAAAGUGAAAUGGAUGAAGAGCAUGAAGGGAGAGAAAAAAUAGAGGCUGAAGAUGAAGGAAGUGGAGCAACAGAGGGAAAAGACGGAGGGAGAGAAAACACAGAGGCAGAAGAUGAUUGGAGGGCCCAGAUAGUUGGAGAAGCAAAAGAAGAUGCUUUAUUAGAGCUUCUCUUCAUCUCUGACAGUCCACUGUGUCCUUCAUUAUCAGAGCCCCUAGUUGUCACCUGUCCUUCAGAGCAGUCAGCAGGGACCAUGAUGCAGGAUGCCUGGGUUAACAACCUUGGCAACAGAGAUGACCUUAGUGAUGGUCACCUUAGCGACUGCCUUCAGGCUGAGCUGGCUAUUGUGUACUCAGACAGUGACACUGGAGAUGACCAGUGGGCAGCCUUCACACUAUCUGAUGUCACUAGCCAGGGGGAAGCAGUUGGAGGGAUACAUGAUUGCAUAUGUGAUGGAAAGAACAAGGAAGAGCAGAGAGCAGGAGACCAUGAAGAAAGACAAGCAGAAGAAGAUAAGAUAGAGACUGAAAUAGAGGAGCAGAGAGAGGAGGAAACAGAGAAUGAGCAUGAGGUGAGGAGGGUAAGUAGGGAUGAUGAUAAAGAGCAGAUGAGGUCAAGGAGAGAUCUUUUCCUGCGGUCCCCUUCUGUCAGUUCCACAGCCAGCUCCACAGACCCUGACAGGAGGGUUCCUGUAGAUUUCUGUGUGCACCAGGAGACCCUCAGUGAAAAUGUCUCCAAUGAGCACGUAGACUUUCUGUUGGCCCGACAGCAGUGGAAGAAGUUGGAGGAGGAAGUGAAAGGACAGCCCAUUCCUAAACCUGGGCUCAGAGCUCAGGGAAGCUUCCAGGGAACACACACUUCACUAUACCCCCCAACUCGCAGCCCACGCCUCAAACACAGGGAGAUCCAUCCCCCAUUCCCCAGGGAGCCCCCUGUGUCCUGCACACUGUCUCCCAGUUCAGAGGACUCAGGCCUUGAUGACCUAUCAUACCGCAGCCCCCUGGAGGAGCCAGAGAGUGCUGUGGAAAAAGAGAUCCGACUGACUCUGGAGAGAGACGAAAGACACCGCAGGGAGAGAGGGAUUAUUUCACAGGGUCUGGCUAUACCCAGACCAUCCACCCUACAGACAGGAAGGUCGCCACCCCGACCACCGGCCUGCCGCACCCCUACUCUGUCCAUC